Long non-coding RNA from Danio aesculapii, 556 nucleotides. RefSeq lists it as uncharacterized. The record is from RefSeq and is a predicted model, not a curated record. NCBI's taxonomy places the organism in Eukaryota, Metazoa, Chordata, Actinopteri, Cypriniformes, Danionidae. The transcript has 2 exons.
UGUGUGUGUGUGUGUGUGUGUGUGUGUGUGUGUGUGUCAGACUCCUCCACUCUGUGAUUUACAACAGGACUGCGAGUGCCUUCAUCAGGAGCUCCAGCAAACAUUAACAGACACGACCAGAGGAAACCGCUACACACUCGCUGUGAUCAUGUCGUGUGGCUCAUGUUUCUGGGCUGUGAUCUGGCUGCUGGUGCUGCUGAUUCUCGGCUGGCCCCUGAGCAUCAUGUUGGGGGGUCUCUACGGCCUCAUCGCCCCGCUCACCGUCUGCUUGGGCCUGGACCGGCUGGCUGACCUGCUGAUGGAGGGAGCCAACCUGGGCCGAAAGUGCGCUCUGAACAUGAGGCACGGGAAACCCCUGUGCUGAAAACACCUCGAGAAGACCUGCUGGAGUCUGAGCUGCCCAAAUCUCUGUGUUUUCGACAUCUUCUACAAUGUACGCUUGAUUCUUAGCGACAUGAUGCUUCUGUAAAGCCUCGGUGAUCUUUUCUUGCUUUCAUUCUCUGUAGCUGAUGCUCUCAGCGCUGUUAAAUAUUAAAAUUUAAAGACUCUUUCAGUA